GAUGAACGCUGGCGGCGUGCCUAAUACAUGCAAGUCGAGCGAACAGACGAUGACCUUGCUCCCCUGCCGUUACCGGCGGACGGGUGAGUAACAAGUGGAUAACCUACCUAUAAGACUGGUAUAACUUCGGGAAACCGGACCUAAUACCACAGAAUAUAUUACACCACAUGGAUCAUUAGUGAAAGACGGCUUUGUUGAAACUUAUAGUUGGACCCGCGCCGCAUUAGCUAGUUGGUAAGGUAACGGCUUACCAAGGCAACGAUGCGUAGCCGACCUGAGAGGGUGAUCGGCCACACUGGAACUGAGACACGGUCCAGACUCCUACGGGAGGCAGCAGUAGGGAAUCUUCCGCAAUGGGCGAAAGCUUGACGGAGCAACGCCGCGUGAGUGAUGAAGGUCUUCGGAUCGUAAAACUCUGUUAUUAGGGAAGAACGAAUGUGUAAGUAACUAUGCACGUCUUGACGGUACCUAAUCAGAAAGCCACGGCUAACUACGUG
Molecule: ribosomal RNA, 497 nt
Filed under: uncultured bacterium
Lineage: Bacteria
Description: partial 16S ribosomal RNA
Rfam family: Bacterial small subunit ribosomal RNA
Source: RNAcentral